This 276-nucleotide ribosomal RNA is filed under the name Mytilus coruscus. Its description in RNAcentral is "partial 16S ribosomal RNA". The stretch from base 32 to 276 matches the Rfam family "Bacterial large subunit ribosomal RNA", at positions 2048 to 2536 of the family's 2925-position model. Lineage: Eukaryota; Metazoa; Mollusca; Bivalvia; Mytilida; Mytilidae. The record is from RNAcentral.
GCUGUGUCUAAAAACUUAGUUUAAACUAACUUAAAGGUGAAGAGGCCUUUAUAAGAAAGAAGGACGACAAGACCCUAUGAAGCUUUAUCUUAUUAGGGAUUUGAAAGAUCCUUAUACGAUUUUGAUGGGAGAUCAGUAAAAAUAAGUCUUUUACCAUUAUUUUUAUCUUACAAGUGUUUCCUAAUUUUAUAUGUGUGACUAGCUACUCUAGGGAUAACAGCGCAAUUUCUCCCGAAAGAUGGUAUUGGAGGGGAAGAUUGCGACCUCGAUGUUGGC